RNAcentral lists this long non-coding RNA (25442 nucleotides) under Phoenix dactylifera (date palm). RNAcentral's name for it is "long non-coding RNA (PDAC_LNC001840)". Lineage: Eukaryota; Viridiplantae; Streptophyta; Magnoliopsida; Arecales; Arecaceae. The record is from RNAcentral.
UUGAUAUAAGUUUAUUUAUUUUUGGAGGAAAACACUAAGAAAAGAACUUCACAUUAUCUUGCAUAUAUAAAAUAUUCCUUUCACACAAUAUUCCAAAUGAAAAUAUUACACUGAAAUAACAUUUUAUUUCCACAUUAUUCUCCCAUAAAUCUAACAUCCUUCACCCUUAUUACUGUUAUUAGUUUUGGCAAAGGAAAAACAUGGAUACACACGAUUACAUGAUGGUACAUGACGGUGAUGGAUCCUCCUUCAACAUGAACUGGUAUCCUCCAUGAGAGGUUCCACCAAAGGGCAUUGGUGGACAAUCAGGCACGCAUCCGUCGAUCCUUCCACAAGAGUAACACCGAGACCCUCCUUGGUGCCCCCCAGAGGAGGGCAUCCUGCAACAAACCUGACAAAUUGGUGGUUGACAUGGUGGUGGACACCAAGGUUCACAUGGUGGUGGACACGGUGGUGGACAUGGUGGCUGGCACGGUGGUGGGCAUGGUGGUGGGCACGGUGGUUCACACGGUGGUGGACGGACAUGGUGGUGGGCACGGUGGUUCACACGGUGGUGGACANNNNNNNNNNNNNNNNNNNNNNNNNNNNNNNNNNNNNNNNNNNNNNNNNNNNNNNNNNNNNNNNNNNNNNNNNNNNNNNNNNNNNNNNNNNNNNNNNNNNNNNNNNNNNNNNNNNNNNNNNNNNNNNNNNNNNNNNNNNNNNNNNNNNNNNNNNNNNNNNNNNNNNNNNNNNNNNNNNNNNNNNNNNNNNNNNNNNNNNNNNNNNNNNNNNNNNNNNNNNNNNNNNNNNNNNNNNNNNNNNNNNNNNNNNNNNNNNNNNNNNNNNNNNNNNNNNNNNNNNNNNNNNNNNNNNNNNNNNNNNNNNNNNNNNNNNNNNNNNNNNNNNNNNNNNNNNNNNNNNNNNNNNNNNNNNNNNNNNNNNNNNNNNNNNNNNNNNNNNNNNNNNNNNNNNNNNNNNNNNNNNNNNNNNNNNNNNNNNNNNNNNNNNNNNNNNNNNNNNNNNNNNNNNNNNNNNNNNNNNNNNNNNNNNNNNNNNNNNNNNNNNNNNNNNNNNNNNNNNNNNNNNNNNNNNNNNNNNNNNNNNNNNNNNNNNNNNNNNNNNNNNNNNNNNNNNNNNNNNNNNNNNNNNNNNNNNNNNNNNNNNNNNNNNNNNNNNNNNNNNNNNNNNNNNNNNNNNNNNNNNNNNNNNNNNNNNNNNNNNNNNNNNNNNNNNNNNNNNNNNNNNNNNNNNNNNNNNNNNNNNNNNNNNNNNNNNNNNNNNNNNNNNNNNNNNNNNNNNNNNNNNNNNNACACAAGUGCUGAUCGAAUGGGGGUCGACGUCACCUCUCAAUCAGACUGGAGCAGCCCAUGUGAUCAAAACACUGGAUUACGAACACAAGGAUUAAAAUUUGAAACAACAAGGGUGGAAACAUCAGUCAUUGGAGGAGUUUAUAUUUUUUAUAGUAGAAAAAUUAGCUUCACACAUAUUAUUUAUUACGAAAGAUAUUAAGAAUAUUAAUUAUUAUUUAUCACGAUAAUGACACUCAUGUAAAAGAAGAUCCACAAACUGGGGGUAAAAGAUGAUCUUCAAUACAGAGAAAGGCUACACUCAUGCCCUUUAUACCAUCCUAUAUAAAAUUCGCAGCUACAGAAUGAUGUACAAAACGGUGUUCUUAGAUGGCGUCAAAGAUGGACAAGAUUUGAUGGGUUGAGGUUGGUGGCUCAACCUUUAUCUCCUCCUUUUUUUGGAGGGAGGAUGAUGAAAACGGGUGACUUCUCAACAUCCUGAACCCAACUCCAUGAAGCGAUGUGACUACAAGAUGUGGCCCAUGAAGACGGAACAUAGUUGCUGUCAACCAUGACUGGGACCCAGACCAACGGUUCAAGUGGGACUUUGAUUCCAUUAACUCCGGUAAAAAGCUUGAGAAUAUGCGUUUUCCCAUUUGCCUUCAAUCUUCAUAGCAGUAGGUCCAUUGUUUCAGCAGCAUGAUUCUACGUUGAAACACCUUAGCAAACGAGCAUGCUUCGAACUGAAAAAGCCGAGCAUUCCUCUCGUUCCAUAGCGUCCAGCAGAUCACAGUGUUGAAAUUAGUGCAAUUGAUUUGUUGGAACACUCUAGAUAUAUAUUAAACUAGAUUCAUGCAAGAAUCGUUAAUAUAUUUAUAUACUCAUUCAUCUUUACAUCUUCCUAUAAUGUCUGUUCAUUUUUCUAUGCAAUCUUAAUUACAUGCAAUUAAUGUGAAUGUAUAUACUAGAAGUCUCCAUGAAGUAUGAAGUACGUCCCUACCUACCAGUGUAUUUGGGAACACAACCACAAGUUGAUUGUUCUCCAUCUUUGUAUUGAGUUGCUACAAGUUGAGUAGCAAUGGUAAUGCAUUCGUAUGGCAUGCUAGACUUGGGCAUCUUAACAUGAAUAAGUUAAGAAUUAUGGUGCAAAAGAACUUGGUAAAAGGGCUUCCAAAAUUAACUAAUUUUGAUAAUGGAGAAAUUUAUGAAAAGUUGUCAAUAUAGAAAGGCACAUUGCCUUCCAUUUGACAAAUCUCUCUCAAGGUGCAAGGCUCCACUAGAAUGUAUAUAUAGUGACUUAAUGGGACUAACUAGAACUCCAUCUUAUUUUGGAUUUCAUUACAUAUUAAUUUUUGUUGAUGGUUUUACAAAAUUCAUGUGGGUUUAUUUUGUAAAGUAUAAAUCAGAAGUUUUUACCAGAUUUUUGGAGUUCAAAGAGACUGUAAAAGGUGAACUUGGGAUGAAAAUCAAGCGCCUACAAAUAGAUAAUCGAGGGGAGUUCACUUCCGAUAGGGUUUUUCUCUUUUUUAUCGACAAUAUGGCAUUAAGACAGAAUUUAGUUGUGCUAAAAUGCCAUAGCAAAACAGAGUUGUUGUGAGAAAAAUCAGACACCUUGUGGAGACUUGCAAGAGCUGGUUGUAUGCUAAAAAUUUAUCUAAAGCUAUAUAUAUAAAGUGUGCAACAUAUAUGAUUAAUCAAAUGUCGCUUAGCCUAACAAACAUGAAGUCUUCUUAUAAGUUGAUGUUUGGAGAAAUUUAUGUUCACAUGCCGGAAUCUCAAAAAAACAAGUUAGAUGCAAAAGCAAGGAAGUGCAUUUUUAUUGGAUACGAUGAAAGGAAGAAGGACUGGAAGUGCAUGGAUCCGAGGACUCACAAAUUUAUUGUUUUGAUGAAGUUUCUUCAUAUUAUGGCCUAAUUAAUGGAGCUGCAUUUGAGCAAGAAAGAUCCAACACUUUAGAUCUUAAAAUGACAAUACCACAUAACUCUUCUUCUUAAUCAUCAUUAGGAGAGCAAAGUGAAAGGGAGAUUUGAAGUUCUCACCAAAGUAGUGGACAACAAGAAGAAAAUGAUGAAUUGGUGGCUAGUAAUUAACGACCAAGGAGAGCAAUUGUCAAGCCAUUCCGUUAUCGAGAUAAAAAUUUUGUAAGUACUUAUUCUUAUUUCUUUGUCAAUCCAAUUGAUGACGAGGAACUCUCUUGCUAUAACAAAGCUAAAGGUAUCAAGGAGUGGAAGGGUGGAUGAGGAAAUGAAUGUUCCUUUUUUUUAAUGGCCAUUAUUUCCGUCAAAAUAACUUUUUCUAUUUGUUAUAAAAAAAAGUCACGUCAGUCAAUAUCAUCCUCCACUUUGAGAGGAAAGAAUUGGAUAGCCGUUGCAUCAAAAGUAUUAAACUACGAAAUUUAAGAUAAGAAUAUUCGUGGGGAGGACCAUUCCCUUUAUGAAUCUUGAAGUGUUAAAUUACCAUCAUCAUGGAGGGAAAUCAUGAGAGCCACCAUCCAUGCAAUCUCUUGUUGCCUUCCACUUUGAUGGUGAUGACGUAAAGGCAUCUUAAUUUAUGAUUAGCCUUGUCAUAUCCAAAAAGAUGAAGAUGAUGUUUGUAUUAAAAUUUAAAAGCGUGUCAAACAAAGCGGGCAGUCUUUUGUUUUAUCGGGCAGUCUUUUCCAUCACCAAACCGGCCGAACCAGUGGUUCACAAGGUAUGGGUUGUGCCUUCGAGUCGGGCUUCUCAUCGGGGCAUUUAGUAUCCUUGGGAUGGUCGCAUACCAUAAUUUGUAUGUCAUUGAUCACCUUGCAGGAUUCUUUUUUCUUAUCAGAGGGUGCAUUAAUUGGGAGGGUCCCUGUGUUCUUUGGCAGGCCUUGCAGCAGAGCUUCUGGGGAUCCAAUGGGCCGGCGAUUGUGACGGCAUUGUUCUUCUCGUCAUAGGAGAUAGUUUUUAUGUUCUCUCCUUCUUUGCUGGUGGAAAAUAUGGGGGAAAAUUGGAUGGUUGGUACAAUCAUUAGUAGCUAAAAUAUUGGACUAAAAUGGAGGUAGUAACAUGUGUGGAGGUUUAGUUACGCAUCCAGGAGCUUGCAUGGAGUCAUUUAAAUCUUUUUGUAGCAACGAUGGCAGUCUAGGUCAACUUUUUAUGGCUAACUUGGAGAUCUGGGUGAUAGAAUUUAUUUAAUGAAUGUGAAAAUAAAAUGAAGGACCUUGGCUAGCAAAUAUGUGAAAAUAAAUAUGCAAUACAAAAUGAAAAUACCGUUGUCUUAGUAUGAGUAUUAAAAGAAUUAAAAAAAGAAAGNNNNNNNNNNGGAAAGGUGGCAAAAAAUGAAGCAUUUAACCUGCUAUUAGAGAGAGAGAGAGAGAAGAGUGGGGAAGAAAAAAGAAAAGGGAAACUCUAAAUUGCUUUCACUGAUAAAUUUAGAAACAAUUUAACAAUAAUUGCGAUCUUAAGCUAAUAGAGAAAGAAUAAAUAAUGUAGGUCAAAGUUAAACAUAGACAGAUUGAUCUAAACAAGAAAAAAAGAAAAGAUUUGAGAGUGAUGAACCAUCCACCUCUAAAGUUUUAUUCUGAUAAAAAUUAUAAAUGGGAAUACAAAAGCUUCAUAGUAUCAUUGACAUAUAACCGAAAGCUUUAGAAAAAAGAUCAUGAUAUUAUGAGAUCCGUAAGAGAAAUGAGUUAAACACAUCAUAUAUUGGCCUUCGAAAAUUGCGUUGAGAAGAUACAAUAAGUGAUAUUGGAGGGAGGAGAAUUUUCAAUCUUUUCCGCUAUUGCUAGAUUGAAGCCAGAUCCCAAUUCUGAAAUUUGGUGCGAGGGUACGUAGCCUUUUACGGCCCCGUAUAACGUGAGCGACCGACGGAGAGCUGUAGAGAAAAAGCCGGGGGGACGUGACCAAGAACCCACCCGCAAUUAUGGUAGGCUUUUUUAUUAUUAUUUUUCUUUUUAUAAAAGUAAGUGGAAGUGCCAUCACACUAAUGGUAAUAUUUUUUAAUGACCAUCACAUCCACCAAAAUAACUUUUCUUAUUUGUUUUCAAGAGAAAAGUCAUCCCAAGAGUCGUUCAAUAUCAUUCUCCACUGUGAGAGGAAAGAAUGCGAUAGCCGUUGCACUAAAAGUAUUAAACUAGGAAAUUUUUAUUUUUUAAUUAAAUAUUAUUUUUUGAGAUUUGUGCAUUGGAUUUUUUAGUUGACAGUAUCUUGAUCUGUAGUCAACUAAUAGUCCACUGUGGAAAGAAAAACAUUCCAACAAACAAUCUUAAGAGAUCAAGCACGUAGGAGCUGAUAGAUAAACCAGAUGUAACUAUUUUAUUCAAAAAACUAUAAAGAGGAUCAAAGCCACCCCAUGUAUCCACUCUAUGGGUACUUGAGUUCAGAACAGACUAAGCUUAAUACUCGAAGUCUCGAAGGAUUAGAGUUGCAUCUUUUGUAAACCUUUGAAUUAUGAUCAAUUGGUCGCUUUGAGAUGUAUGCAGACGGAUAAAUAAUAAAGUUUUGAAGUGCUUUGAGAUCUGUGCAUGGGUGAUCUAAUAGUGGAUUUGUGUGAAGGAAAUUGAAUACUUCUUUCAUGCAAAAGAUGCAAUCAAGUCCCAGCUUUCAACCCAACCGGGGCAGAGGAUUUGCUGGUACCUCUCGCCUGGAAGAUAAGAGGAUUUGCUACUCAGCUACAAACUCAAGAAGUAGAUGCAGUUGUGUUAUAGAAAAUAUUAUGAAGAAUAGCUCUGUUAAAGAUCAUAAUGGCAGUACCACCGAGGUAGUAGCACGGUUGAAACGAGGCUAAGAUUCCACCGGAGUAGCCUAGAUUCGAAACGCGCGGGCACGGGUGGGGAGGGUAUGAGUAAAACUUAUCUGCCCGUAUCGAAUAUUCUUCAGUGGGAAGAGGGCUCAGUAGGGGCUGCUACGCGGGUGAGGUCCUCCUCACCCCCCUCCUUCCUUUUGUCCUAGCAAAAAAAAGAAAAAAAAAGACCAUAAUGGCAGUCACUUGUGAAGAUGAUUUGGCUGGUUGUUUAUAGGCUUUUUGGUUGCCAGUUUUGUGACCUCAAGUCCGCUAAUAGUCCAAUGUGGAAAGAAAAAUUUUCUAACAAACAAUCUUGAGAUCGAGGACAUAGGAGCCGACAGAUAAACCAGAUGCGACUAUUUUUUCCGAAGAAAGGCAGAGGGGAGUGGCCUUACCCACAGUAUCUAUAUAUGAGUCCAGAACAAACCAAGCUUAAUACUUGAAGUCGUGAAGGAUUAGAGUUGUAUCUUUUGCAGAUCUUUUGAAUUAUCCAUUGGUCGUUUUGAGAUCUAUGCAGACAGAUAAAUAAUGAAGUUUGGAGUGCUUUGAGAUCUGUACAUUGGGUGAUCCAAUGAUGGAUUCGUGCGAAAGAAGAUGAAUACUUCUCUAGAUCCAAUGGUAUUCUAAGUCUCACAUGUAUGUCUAUGAGGAGAGAAAUCAAUCUCUAGAUAUAUUGGCUAGCCAGUAGGCGCAGAUGUACUGAUGGAAAUUUUAUAAUCGGAAGUUCUCAGCCUUUAUCUUCCUAGUAGGCUUUUUUUUCUUCUAGCUGAUAUAAGUUUAUUUAUUUUUGGAGGAAAACACCAAGAAAAAACUUUACAUUAUCAAGCAUAUAUAAAAUAUUCCUUUCACACAAUAUUCCAAAUGAAAAUAUUACACUGAAAUAACAUUUUAUUUCCACAUUAUUCCCCCAUAAAUCAUACAUCGUUCACCCUUAUUACUGUUAUUAGUUUUGGCAAAGGAAAAACACGGAUACACAUGAUCACAUGAUGGUACAUGACGCUGAUGGAUCCUCCUUAAGAAUGAACUGGUAUCCUCCAUAAGAGGUUCCACCAUAGGGCAUUGGUGGACAAUCAGGUGCACAUCCGUAGAUCCUUCCACAAGAGUAACACCGAGACCCUCCUUGGUACCCGCCAGAGCUGGGCAUCCAGCAACAAACCUGACAAAUUGGUGGUUGACACGGUGGCGGACACGGUGGUGGACACGGUGGUUCACACGGUGGUGGACACAGUGGUUCACACUUUGGCUGACAUGGUGAUUCACACGGUGGUUGACAUGGUGGUUCACACGGUGGUAGACACUUUAUCUUUUUUGGCGGCUCCGUGCAGGAAUCCGGGCAUUUUGGAUGCUCACAUAUUAUGAUCUCAAUGUNNNNNNNNNNNNNNNNNNNNCUGGUGGCCUUAUGCCUACCCGCACCCUAGGACCGUCGCGGCGGCCCGCCGGGAACGGGGCGGGGGUCGUGACAAGUUUCUUUUUCGGUAGUUUUUUUAUCCUUAUCAUCCUUUUCCUUCUCGGGAGUAGGAUCCUUGAUCACCUUCUUAGUCACCGUGCAUUUGGGAUCCUUGUGAUGGUCACAUGAUAUGAUUUUAAUGUUGUUGCACACCUUGCAACAACAUUUGCAAGGUACUGGUGGGGGUGGCGGCGGUGCCGGCGGCUUCGGUUUCGGUUUCUCCACUACAAUUAUUAUGGCUAUGAUCACCUUGCAGGCCAUGCAGCGGAGCUUCUUGGAGAGCUUCUCGGGAUCGAAUGGGCCGGAGAUUGUGACAGUAUUGUUCUUCUUGUCAUAGGAGAUGGUUUUUAUGUUCUCCCGUUCUUUGUUGAUGGAAAUCAAAGGGAAAAAUUGGAUGAUUGGUACAAUCAUUAGUAGCUAAAAUAUUGGACUAGAAUGGAGGCAGUGGAAGUUCGGGGGGUGUAAUUACGUACCUUGGAGCUUGCAUAGAGUCUUUUGAAUCUUUUUGUAGCAAUACCGGCAGCCUAGGUCAACUUUUAUCUCUAACGUGGAGAUCUGUGAUAGGAUUUAUUUAGUGAAUGUGAAAAUAAUAUGAAGGACCUCAGCUUGGGAAUAAGUGAAAACAAGUAUGCAAUACAAAUGAUGUUGUCGUUGUUCUAAUAUGAGCAUUAAAAGAAUAAGAAGAAAACAAAGAAGGAAAGAAUAAAAAAAGAAAAAAGUUAAACAUAGUCAGGUUAAUCAAAACAAGAAAGAAAGAAAAGAUUCAAGAGUGAUGCAACGAUCCGCCUCAAAUAAGUUUUAUUCUGACAAAAAUAUAAAAGGGAAUUACCAAAGCUCGAUGCUAUCAUUAACAUAAAACUGUUAAGCUUUAGGAAAACGAUCAUGAUAUUAUGAGAUCCACAAGAGACAUGAGUUAAAAUCAUCGUGAGCUAGCCUUUGAAAAGUCCAUGGAGAAGUGAUUCUGAAGGGAGGAGAAUCGGCAACCUUUUCCGCCAUUGCUAGAUUGAAGGCAGAUCCUAAUUCUGGAUGUUUGGUUUCGAGUGUAGUUGGCGGGGAGGGGGGGUAGCCUUCUUUAUAACGCGAAUGACCGACGGAAAAGAGGGAGGGGACACUGUGACCUCGAACCUACCGGCAAUUAUGGGAGCACCUGAGAGGCUCGUUUGGUGGGAUGGGACUUUUAUUAAUUAGAUGGAGUGAAUUUCUCAUGAUGCCCCUACCUUCAUUUAUAGCUGGAGUGAAUUUGUCCCUUGGACAAAUUCUUUUCUCCACCUUGACCAUGAAGUGCCAUGGGAUAACAUUUUCCUAUUCUGCUCUUGCUUGACAUGGUAAACAGUAUUAUCGGGCAUUAUCGCACUUAUUUAAUCAGUUUCAUGGGCCUUCUUUUAGAAUAACUAGUUUUCCGUGCUUUCAUUAAAAAAUUAUAUUAAAUUGAAGAGGCUUCUUAUCUAUCUUUAUUAGAUUCAUGCAUUUUUGUUGAAAUAGUAUACUUGCAUCUUUGUUUGCAUUAUUGUUUGUAGUAAGUACAUAUUGGAUGUUGUAACAAUUUAACUAUAAUUCAAUAUGUUCAAACUUGACGUCAUGAAGAGUAUUAUUAAUUGAACGAAAAUAUAGUCUGAAGUCUGAGACACCUUGUGGAGACUUGCAAGAGCUGGUUGUAUGCUAAAAAUUUAUCCAAAGCUAUAUACAUGAAGUGUGCAGCAUAUGUGAUUAAUCGAAUAUCCCUUAGCCUAACAAAUAUGAAAUCUCCUUAUAAGUUGAUGUUUGGAGAAAUUUAUAUUCACAUGCCGGAAUCUCAAAAAAACAAGUUAGAUGCAAAAGCAAGGAAGUGCAUUUUUAUUGGAUACAAUGAAAGGAAGAAGGGCUGGAAGUGCAUAGAUCCAAGGACUCACAAAUUUAUUGUUUCUAGAGAUGAUGUUUUUGAUGAAGUUUCUUCAUAUUAUGGCCUAAAUGGAGUUGCACUUGAGCAAGAAAGAUCCAACACUUUAGAGUUUAAAAUGACAUUACAACAUGGCUCUUCUUUUUAAUCAUCAUUAGGAGAGCAAAGUGAAAGGGAGAUUUCAAGUUCUCACCAAAGUAGUGGACAACAAGAAGAAAAUGAUGAAUUGGUGGCUAGUAAUUGACAGCCAAGGAGAAUAAUUGUCAAGCCAUUCCGUUAUCGAGAUAAAAAUUUUGUGAAUACUUAUUCUUGUUUCUUUGCCAAUCCAAUUGAUGAUGAGGAACACUCUUACUAUGAUAAAGCUAAAGGUAUCAAGGAGUGAAAGCGUGCCAUGGAUGAGGAGAUGAAUGCCCUUAUUUUUUAAUGACCAUCACAUUCAUCAAAAUAACUUUUCCUAUUUGUUAUCAAGAGAAAAGUCACAUCCCAAGAUUUGUUCAAUAUCAUCCUCCACUUUGAGAGGAAAGAAUUGGACAGUCGUUGCAUCAAAAGUAUUAAACUACGAAAUUUAAGAUAAGAAUAUUCAUGGGGAGGACCAUUCCCUUUAUGAAUCUUAAAGUGUUAAAUUACCAUCGUCAUGGAGGGAAAUUGUCACGCCCCCGCCUGCGCGGGGCACGUAAGGCACCCAGUGCCCACGUGGGGGCCACAUGAGGGGGAAAACAUGGGGCUCCCCUGCCAGAUAUUGUCCGGUUUCGGAGCUUCACGCAAGCAUCCUUCACCCCUCCUCGGUUUUGUUUUCCACCCAAAAUGCGUCGCAGGAUUUGGAGACACCCGCCUCAUAUGCCCAGGCUCUGAAACGAGUCUUUCCAAUAUGGGACUAUUGGGCCUCACACCCUUCCCACAUCAGACAAGAGCCAUUCUCGGCUCUGAUACCAAAUGUCAUGCCCCGCCUGCGCAGAGUACGUGAGGCACCCAGUGCCCACGUGGAGGCCACANNNNNNNNNNNNNNNNNNNNGUGAGGCACCCAGUGCCCACGUGGAGGCCACAUGAGGAGAGAAACACGGGGCUCCCCUGCCAGAUAUUGUCCAAUUUUGUGGCUUCACGCAAGCGUCCUUCACCCCUCCCUGAUUUUGUUUUCCAUCCAAAACACGUCUGCAGAAUUUAGAGACACCCGCCUCAUAUGUCCAGGCUCUGGAACGAGUUUUUUCGAUGUGGGACUAUUGGGCCUCACACCAAGAAAAUGCCAAGCCAAGAGAGGACCAUGUGCCAACUGAAGGCCAAAGUGGCCGCGCUAAUCAAACAGGACAUCGGGAUAUGAAGAGGCCAAUGGAGGGUCAAGCCAAGGCCAACCACUUUGCCGGAAAAAGCCUUGGCCAAGCCCCUUCAUUCGGCCAAGCACGCCCUUGGUCGGCCGAGACCAUGCCCAAGCCGCAUGCACCGCACCCAUGCAAGCCAAGCCUCGGCCGAGCACGCCCAACCUCAACCGAGCCAACUGCGCGCCGAUGCGUGCCCAAGCCUUGGCCAAGCAUGCCCAACCUUAGUCGAGCCCACCGCACGCGCAACCCCGCCAAAGCCAUGCCGCAGCCACGUCCAGCUGCGCUCAGCCAAUAUGCUACAGUGCGAAGAGGUUCGGCUGCAAGAACCUCGCCAGCUACAGUGACUGCGCCUGCUACAGUGCGGCGAGGUUCUUAGGCAAGAACCUCACCAGCUACAGUGUUAGCGCACAGCUAGCCCGCGAGUCAGCCUGCUACAGUGUGGCAAGGUUUGGCCUCCCGCACGCCCUCCCAUGCGCGCGCCCGCACACGCCCGCCAGCCUAGCGCACGCCCAGUCCCAAUACCACCUGGACUGGGACACGUCCAACCGGGACGCACGACUCGGCCAACUAGGACACGCGUCCCGUUUACCCAGACCGCGCGCCCAACUGGGACUCCUCCAGCCACAACCGGGACACGCGUCCCGUGCGUCCGGUCUGCGAGUCUCAUGCAAUCUCAACCCUCCAUCCUCUUCCAUCCAACGGCCAAAAAGCAAGCCAUUGUCCAGCCGUGGCAGGGCCCUUCUUGGGGGAUUUUCAGCCACUCAUCUCAUGCCAAUCAACGGUGGAAAAGCCUUGGAUCCAUGGGAUGACAAUUUGCCAUAUUUUCCUAAGGGGUUUUACUUAGUUUUGUCUAGGGCUUAGCCUAUAAAAAGAGUUGUGAGAGGACAUUGUAGGGAAUGGAAUGAUCAAUGAGUUGAGUCUUGUUUCUUUUGUGAGAGAGUCAGCCGUAAGGCUUGGGCUAUUAGGGGGUUAGGCCUUUAAUAGAUUUUGGUCCUUAGAUCUUCUGUUCUAGGACUUGGGCUAGUGGUUGAUAAAUCAAUCUCCACUAGAUUGGGCUAGGAAGGGAUCCUUUCGAUCCUUUGCUAGAUUUCUUUUACUUUUUGUUAUUCUUGUUAUUUGCUUUUGAUUGUCGUCGUUUGUUUUUCAAUUUAUUGGAAUAUAAAUCAAGGUUGCUUUCAUUGUUGAUCUUUUAUUGAGUUAUUCCACCGGCGUUACCUACAAUCGAUCCAUCAUCAGCAUCUUUUGAAAGCGCAUGCAAGGAGCGUGAGGGAAAAGGGCUUGGUGAGGGGUUCUGGACCGUGAGCCCCCAUCAAAUUGGUGCUUUCAUUGAGAGAAUCCUUCAAGGAGCUAACGCUUGAAUACCAAUCUUCCAGAUCUGAUUUUGCUUUGCAUAUUCUUUUGGAUCUAAGGUUAAAAAUCAGAUCAUAGUCGUUGGUGAAGUUCAUAAAAAUUCUGCAUCCUAUAUUGGACUUGAAUUUGUAUUCGGUUGGGGGAUUUUUAAUUUCUGUUUUUAUUAUUGUAAAACCCCUGUCGGUGGCUGAUUGGGUGAAAUACAAAUCAGGUGGGUUGGUUCAUCCUUUGGGUGACAACCGCAAGAGGUUUAGGGACUGAUUUGGGGAAGUUUUGUGUUGCAGAAAAAUUCUGUAGCAAGGUCUGUGUUUGGGUUGUUAAGAACAGAGUUUUCUGAAGCUUUGAGUUUGAUUUUUUGUGGAGAGUUUCAGAGGUUAUUACUCACUGUAAUAGGCAUCUUUACGUGUUGAUUUGGUUCUAUUUUGAGGGAGAUAUUGGCUGCUGAAGUCGGUAGACUGCUGCAGAAAUUUUCUGCAGUCCAGAAAUUUUUUGUGUAGCAAGUUUUGGGGGCUUGAUUGAGUUCUGGUUUUUGGAAGUUAGAGGGGCUGUUGUCUCCGGGUUUUAGAGUCCUAAAACAGAGGGUUAAAAGGAGAUGGAGUCCCCCCAAAAUAGUAACCACGAUAGGAGGUUAGAAGCCCUUGAAGUUAGUUCGGCAAACCUUAACCGGGCAUUGGAAACUUUGUCCAAUACUAUGGCUGAAAUAAGGAGGGAGAACAUUGCCAACGUUGAGAGAUUGGAAAGAAGGAUGCUAGAGAGAGAACAUAAGAGGGUGCAAGAAGAAGUGCCUAGGCCGCAUGCUGCACGGUAGAACCGGGCAAGGUAUGAGAGCGAUGCCAUUAGUGUUUAGAAUACACAUCAUGUAGAUCAUGGCAUUAGGCAUCAUGGCCGAACGGGAGGAAGGAUAGAAGCCGAAGGCUUAGUGUUUGAGAGGUGGCUUGAUGAUGAGUGGGUUAGUAAUGGCCAUAACAAUCAUGAUGGGGCUGAUAGUGAACCCGAAGAACAUCCCUUCCAUGCUUAAAGGCCUCAUGGUCGGAGAGAACCCAUGGCAAGGAGAAGAAGAAGUAUUAUGCGGGGUACUGACUUUGGAGAUGAUGACUAUAGGGGUCCAUGGCCUAGAGAAGAAGGGCUUAGGAAACCCAAAAUUGACUUUCCAAAGUUUGGUGGAGGAGACCCGUAUGAGUGGCUUGACAAGGCGGAUCAGUACUUUGACAUUUAUGAUAUCCCACGGGCUGAUCGGGUGACCCUAGCUAGUUUCCACUUAGAGGGAAGGGCUAGCCGAUGGUGGAGGUGGAUCUGGGCCUUGUAUGAGAAAGAAGGAAGAAGAUUGGGUUGGACUGCCUUUAUGGAUGAAUUCAUGAAACAAUGGGGACCUUCCCCCGUUGUCAAUCACCAUGGUCAACUUGUAAAACUCAAACAGGAGGGCAAAGUUCAGACCUAUAUCGAUGAGUUCCGGUAAUUGCAAACUAUGGUCAGCGGAUGGUCCGACGAAGCCUUACAUGGUACCUUCAUCGAUGGCCUCAAACCAUGGCUAGCCAAGGAGAUCAAACUCAAACAACCAACACGGUUACAAGAGGUGAUGCGCAUGGCGGAGAUCCUAGACCAAAGCUACAACCCGGAGUGGCGGAUGUCCAAGGAUUGUGCGGGCAACCAGCACACCGAAUUCCCACCAUCCAAGGCGACAAAUGAAGGCAAAGAAGGGAUUGGAACCAGCAACAAACACCAACUAAAGGAGGUAAGAACAUUGACUCGUGAUGAACUGAAAGAUUACAUUAAAAAAGGGCUAUGUUUCAAAUGCGGUGAAAAGUGGAGCCAGGAGCAUCGUUGCAAGACCGGCCAUGUCUACAUCCUUGAUGCAAGCAGCGAGGAAGAGGACGAGGUGUCUGAAUUUUCUGAUGAAGAUGGUGAAAAUCUGAUCAAAGGAAGGCCGAGCAUUAUGAAGUGAUCAAAGAAGCUGAACUUUCAUUGCAUACCAUGUCGGGAGUCCAAAAACCUCCUACUAUACGGCUUAUAACAUGGAUCGGUACGUAUGAAGUUUCUUUAUUGAUUGAUUCAGGCUCUUCACAUAAUUUUGUUAAUGCAAAGAUGCUUCAAAGGGUGGGCUUGAAAGGGAUAUCGGUGGAACCCCUUGAAGUAAAAAUCGCGAGUGAAGAAAGGAUGAAAUGUGAGGAGAUUGUGAGAGAAGUAAAAUUGAGGGUCCAAGGGGUUCUGAUUAGUGUUAAUUUGCAUGUACUACAGUUGGUACGACUAGAUGCGGUACUUGGGAUUUUAUGGCUUCGAAGGCUGGACAAGAUAGAGACUGACUAUGAGUCGAUGACCAUGAAGUUCAGACUUGGUGGACGGAUGAGGAAGUGGACCGCUUGGGGCAGCAAUGACAUGAGGCCUUGUGAGGCCAAUAUGUUGGAGACACUGCACGGCCGAAAGCCUAAAGAAGAAGCUAUACAGGAAGCCCAUGAAGGAGUUCGGUGACACUCAGAGCAUAUCCUUGGGGGCAAGGAUAUUUUUCAAGGGAGGGGGUUUGUUGAGGUCCCACGCAAGCAACACCUAGAAAACGCCAAGCCAAGAGAGGACUAUGUGCCAAUUGAAGGCCAAAGUGGCUCAUGCAGACUAAAGAGGACAUCGGGAUAUAAUGAGGCCAACGGAGGGUCAAGCCAAGGCCAACCACUUUGCCAGGACAAGCCUUAGCCAAGCCCCUUCAUUCGGCCAAGCACGCUCAUGGUCGGCCGAGACCAUGCUCGAGCCGCACGCACCGCGCCCAUGCAUGCCAAGCCUCGGUCGAGCACGUCCAACCUCGGUCGGGCCAAUUGCGCACCCAAGCCUCGGCCGAGCAUGCCCAACCUUGGCCAAGCCCACCGCACGCACAGCGCCGCCAAAGCCAUGCCGCAGCCAGGUCCAGCCGCGAUCAGCCAACAUGCUACAGUGCGGCGAGGUUCGGCUGCAAGAACCUCGCCAACUACAGUGACUACACCCGCUACAGUGCGGCGAGGUUCUUGGGCAAGAACCUCGCUAGCUACAGUGUCCACGCACAGCCAUCCUGCUACAGUGCUGCGAGGUUUGGCCGGCCGAACCUUGCAUGCUAUAGUGCCCGCGCGCACAGUGUCCGCGUGCCCAGGCUCGCGCGCGCCCGCCCGCGCGCCCAUGCCAGCCCCGCGCGCACCCAGCACCCGCGCGCCUAGGCCCGCGACCCAGGACCUCACCCAAAAUGGCUAGCCAUAAAGUAUUAUUUGGGUUCCUUGAUCCUGUAUAAGUACCCAAGAUCUACCCAACGAAUAACCGAUGUGNNNNNNNNNNNNNNNNNNNNNNNNNNNNNNNNNNNNNNNNNNNNNNNNNNNNNNNNNNNNNNNNNNNNNNNNNNNNNNNNNNNNNNNNNNNNNNNNNNNNNNNNNNNNNNNNNNNNNNNNNNNNNNNNNNNNNNNNNNNNNNNNNNNNNNNNNNNNNNNNNNNNNNNNNNNNNNNNNNNNNNNNNNNNNNNNNNNNNNNNNNNNNNNNNNNNNNNNNNNNNGGCUAGCCGAAAGUUAUUAUUUGAGUUUUUGAUCCUGUAUAAGUACCCAAGAUCUACCCAGCGAAUAACCGACGUGGGACUAAACACACGCCCGCACGGGUCCUCAUGGGUUGUUACAAAUAGUAUCAGAGCGGAUCCGGCCUAUAAUCUAUGUGGACUAGGGGACACUGCAGCACGGAUCUAUUGGGGCUAACCAUGAGCCGAUCGUGGUAUUUGUGAUUAGAUUUGAAUUGAUUUGAACCCUUAGCCUGACGAGGACGUCAGGGCUUGAACGGGAGAAGUAUGUGAGGAUCCGUGCGGGCGUGUGUUUAGUUCUACAUCGGUUAUUCGCUGGGUAGAUCUUGGAUAUUUUUACAGGAUCAAUGAACCCAAAUAAUACCUUCUGGCUAGUCAUUUUGGUUGAGAUCUACAGAAAUCAUGAGAACUACCUUCGAAUGCAAUCUCUUGUUGCCUUCCACUUUGAUGGUGAUGGUGUAACGACAUCUUAAUUUAUGAUCAGCCUUGUCAUAUCUAAAAAGAUGAAGAUGACGUUUGUAUUAAAAUUUAAAAGUGUGACAAACAAAGCCAAUGUGAGGGCAGUCUUUGUUUUAUCGGGCAGCGGGGCGUCCACCCGAGUCAAAAAAUUAUCCCAUCCAAAGCAUGCACAACCUAGAAUAUAUUGAAGAAACGGAAAGCCGAUUUAUGGCCAUUAUAUUGCACUGGAAGGAUAUAAUUAUUUGAGCAUGCACGGGCUGAGCAUCGCGUGGAUCUGCCCUUGGUGCAAGAUGGAGAAGACUGUGGAUCACGUCCUAUUUCAGUGUGAUUGUGAAGUAUGGGUGUGGAGACUUGCUGAUGUCCCGCCAAAUGCUUUGUGCAAGUCUGGCUCCUUCACCCAGACGCUUAGGAGGUGGGCUGCCUCUCCUCAAAUCCGGUAUGUAGUCAUCAGGGCAUCUUAUACGGCUUACCAUAUUUGGAUGAUCAGAAAUGCCUAGAUUUUUGGAAAGAGUAGUCCCACACUGAGACUCGUCAUAGAGAGGGCCUGCGUGCAAGCUACAGAGAUCAUCCAUGCAGGUUCAUUGAGCGGGUCGCUGAUAGCUCGGGACAUCUGAGACUCUAUCUCUACUCUUGUAGCAUCUCGGGCGGUGUAUAUCACCUAGGAGUCCCCACCUCUGAGCUUUCUCAAAGUCAAUUUUGAUAGAUACGUUUUGAAUCGUGGCAGGAAGAGGCAGGGCCGGCUCGAGUCUUAGACGAUCGCCUCGGUCGCCUUAAGGCCUCGGCCCAAAGGAAGGCCUCUGGGAGGCAAAGAGAAGAUAACCACAAAAGGAAAAAAGAAGGCAAAAAGGCACCGACUUGCAAUGAAAUAAGGGAUGAGAGAAGAGAAAGCAAAUUGAGAGAGAGAGAGAGGAGGGAGGGAGGUUCCUUGCCCUAUUUUUUGUGUUUGAUCAUGACCAAAAAGGAAGCAAAGGCCCCAUAUAAGAUGGGAACAGGAGCUGGCUACGAGUCUUCCCCCUUGAUGGAAGGGAGGUGGAGAGUUUCCCGGCCUGCAGAGGGGCAAUUUGGAAAGUUGGGGAUAGUAGUUUUGUUUUGGGUGGAGAGAAAGAGAUAGGAGGGAUUUGGUUGGCUUGAUACACAUGUCUGAAGCCACUCUUACCUUUAANNNNNNNNNNNNNNNNNNNNNNNNNNNNNNNNNNNNNNNNNNNNNNNNNNNNNNNNNNNNNNNNNNNNNNNNNNNNNNNNNNNNNNNNNNNNNNNNNNNNNNNNNNNNNNNNNNNNNNNNNNNNNNNNNNNNNNNNNNNNNNNNNNNNNNNNNNNNNNNNNNNNNNNNNNNNNNNNNNNNNNNNNNNNNAAUGGCUGCUGCUUGGGUACUCGCUUGAAGGGGAGACGGUACAUUUACCAAAACAAAAGGGGGAGACGGUGGGAUGGGACUUUUAUUAAUUAGAUGGAGUGAAUUUCCCAUAAUGCCCCUACUUUCUGUUAUAGAUACGUCCUGUUCUAGAUAAAUUCUUUCCUUUACAUUGGCCCUGAAAUGCCAUGGGAUAACCUUUUGUUAUUCUGCUGCUUUUUUCUCUCUUUCUUUCUCUUUCUUUUUUUUCUGCUAAGACGGACGGAUCAUACCAAACAAAUAUAGAUACACUCAAUAAAGUUAAAAAUAAAAAAACCUCAGAAUGCCAGGAGCAACUCUCCAUCUCCAGCCACAGGGUACUAUCCGAGUACUGGCUACGUAAAUAGCUACCCAGUCCGCGGUCCCAUUAGCUUUAUGGAAGAAAUGUUUAGCCUGGAAAGCCCCUCUAUUUCUCACCAUUGCCUAGAUAUCUUGGAGCAAAGGGUGGAUGCAACCGUUGCCCCUUGGACCUCCUCAAAUUCAGAUGAUGAUCGUGACUGAGUCUCCCUCCAGGACGAUGGAACUGGCCUGUAAAACACACUGAGCGUGACGAAAGCCCGUUCAAGCGGCACUCAGCUCUGCACCCGAAACCGAUAUGUCAAAAAGUUGACUGCCUCCUGCAGCCACGACUCUGGCAGACGGGUCCCGAAUAAUAAAAUCCGCACCGCCCCUUGUACCUCCGUCCAAGACAGACCCAUCGAUGUUGACCUUGAGAAAACUCGGAGGUGGGGGCUUUCAGGUGAAAAACACUGUAUGAGAUGCUGUCGAAGCAGAAUAAGAAUUCCAGAUGUCCCGAGCUGUCAAGGGCCCUUCGACAAGUAUGAUGUGAUUGAUCUUCGCCACUUGCACACGGGCACUCUCCACCAUAAAUCUCGGUGACAUACUGCUCAUGCUUGACAUGGUAAACAGUAUUGCCAAGUAUUAUUUCAGUUAUUUAAUCAGUUUCAUGGCCCUUUCUCUUUUUUUUUGGCUAAGGCAUGGCCCUUCUUUUAUUGUAAUUACUUUUCCGUGCUUCCAUUCAAGUAUUAUAUUAAACUGAAGAGGCUUCUUGUCUAUCUUUGUCAGAUUCAUGCAUCUUUGUUGAAAUAGUAUACUUGACAGCUAUCUAUUUCUAUAUUAUUUUUUAAAUAUUUUAUACUUAUUAAAAAAUUUUAUUAUUAAAAAAAGCCUCAUUCAUUGAAUUUGCCUUAGGCCCCCAAAUGUAUUGGGCCGCCCCUGGAAGGGGGGUNNNNNNNNNNNNNNNNNNNNCCUUAGGCCCCCAAAUGUAUUGGGCCGCCCCUGGAAGGGGGGUGCUGGUUUCAUGAUCAAAGGCCCGGACUCUAGAGUGCUGGCAGCUAGAAGGAGCCCUAUCUUCGAUAUCUCAGUCCCUUGGACGGAGCUGAGGGCAGCUUGAGCUGGCCUAUGUCAUGCUCGACUUGUACUGCGAGCCAAUGACAUCCUUCUUAAAGGUGACUCGGCUAUAGUAAUCGUCUAAAUCCAGAGGUGUACUAGUGAUGUUAGAGGCCGCCACCCCCUUCUUCGAAAUAUUUGGGGCAUGGCUAGUGGUGACAUUACCUUCCGGGCAAAACACUUAUAUAGGGAGGUUAAUGGAGUUACGGACUGGGUGGCUUCUUUUGUGGCUGAUCAUACUUGGAGGCUUCUGUGGAUUUGUGAGGCGGAGCUGCCUAAGAUACUCCAUGACUUGUUAUAUUUUGACUUUUUUGGUUGUAUUUGUACUAGAUUUGUAUGAGUCCUCCGGUAUAGAAAAAAGGAUAUAAUUAUGAAACCUAGCCUCUAACGGCUAUUUAAAGACCCCCACAUCUUCUUUCGUCCCACCACCGAUAUGUUUCGCCGAUCAUCACUGCAAACCACCAUCAAUUUCUUUCUCUUUCCUUUUCUCUCCUCGCUCUUUUCUUUUCUCUCUCCUCUUCUCUCUUUUUCUCUUUUUACCACUUCUCUCUCUAGAAAUCCUACAGACCUAUGGAGGUCCAGACAUUUUGAUAGGCCAAGAUGACCCUUGACCCUAGGAGGGGUCCCAGCUAGUAUUGUGCGACCAAGAGCUUUGAGCUGGUCUUGGUUUCAGAUUGGCGUUAUGCGGCCAUAGAAAGCAUUCCGGGUUGGUGUUAUGCAACCGUACGAGGGGUUCUAGGUUUUCGGUUUGACCUUAUUAUAAUCAUCUGUCAUAAUUCAUGGAUGAUUAUGAUUAUUCUAAUGAUGAGACCCAACUUUUUUAGGUGAACAAUCAUUUGGGCUAUAAUGUGUUGAGCAGUCCACUUUGCCCCCGAGUUCGUAAAUCAAGCGGAGUAUCAAUGUACCCAAUGUUUAAGUCUGUUGCUUGUAGAGGUAAGAAUCCCUUAACACAAUCAUCUACAUGAUUAUGAAAGUUUUGUAUAUAAAUAUAUCUUGCAUGAUUGUGGAUAUUUUAUACAUAUUGCUAUCUGUAUUAUGUGUUAAUGUGAUGUUACAUAGAUUAUGAUGUUACUUAGUCUAGCUUCGUAUAAGACUUAUUAAUUGGUGAUUUAUUAUAGAAAUCAUGUAGAUAUUAAAUAAAUCAACACUUUGAUAUAAUUAUAAGAUGGAGUAUGGGCGGCAUCUAGAUUGGUUGGCCACGCAAGAAACGUGGUGUAUAUGCUGGGUCAAUCUUGGGCUGGGGUGUAGCAUUAUGUUUGGCUUAUCAUGGGCUAGAUUAUGGCUAUAACUAGUCCAACGCCAAAAAGAUCAAUUCCAGAUAAUGAACUAUCAUUAAAUCAUAAUUGUGACAUAAUUAAAUCAAUUUUUUGUAAGAGUGGGGAAAAGGGAGCAUCUAGAUUAUCCGGCAAUUUGUGAAAUUUGGUGUGCCAGUCGUGGGCUAAGUUGUGAUAUUGCAAUUGCCAGCCAUAGGUGGAAGUAUGGUAUAUAUUUGGCUUUCCAUGGGCUGGAGCAGGACUAGGAUUAGUCCAUUGCUGAAAUCAAAUCAUGAUGAUAAAUUAUGUUUAACUACAAGUAAAUUUAAUUUUUCACAAUUAUGAGAUUGGGAACAAGAGGAGCAAUUGGGCUAGCCGACAUGUGUGAAACUUGGUCUUUGUGAUAUCAAUUAUGCUGAGAUGUGAUGUUGCGGUUGCCGGUGAUGGGUGAAAACGAAGUAUGUUUUGACAUGCUACGGGCUGGAGCGUGGGUGGGACUAGUCUAGUGCCAAAAUGAUAAUAUUGUCGAGAUCUAAACUGUGUUAAUCGGUUAAUCAUAGGUAACCUCACUGACUUAUUGUUGAAUAAAAUUGCUGAUUUGGGUGAUAUGUGAUUUGUUUAUACAGUACUAUGGUGAUGUUUAGCAUCUAUCUCGAGAUUUCCAUUUAUGAUGAUAUAUCUAUGAUUGUGUUGCUAUAUAAUCAAAACUUGAUAUGUAUGCUGGUAUGGCUUAUACGGGUGUUUAUAAAUAUAUACACGAGAUCAAUUGAGUAAUAUUCAAUUAUAAGAUUGUUGAUUUUCAAAUCUUACUAUUUUCCUUUCAAUUUUAUAUUUGCUUGUAGAUGCUCUCCAUAUUCAUGCUAGUGUGCAUGCGUGGAGGAUUCUUAUUGUACCGUAAAGCCCACACCACUUUUUUUUUUCCUCCAGAGUUACAAGAUGCUUAGUCUCGGAUAAAGUCGGCAUGAAGUUUGAGCGAUGGAGUUUUUAGUUAGUCUGCUUUCUACUUUCAAACAAACAAUUGAAUAUCUUGUAGUUGAAUUAGUUUGACAAUUUGAAUAUGGUGGAUUUAUUUAGUUUGAUUCUUUAGUUGUUGAGUUAUUGGAUAUUUGUUAAUAUUAGGCCUUGGAGGAUCUCCAGGGCAACGCUCCAGGGUUCAUGUGGCUGUGUCAUAUAGCCGACCAAGGUGUUGGGUUCGGGGCUCGACACGUACAGUCCAGUAUAAGGCGUUAAUAUGAUAGCGGACCACUUGUAUCACAUGCAAAUCAUAUAUGAUGGUAGAAGCCAAAGAACUUCCGUGGUCCAAAGGAACCGCAUAUUAUUGUAGUCACUUCAGAGGGAAUCACUCGAUGUUACAAUCUAAUUUCAAUAAUAUUUUUUUUGUUUCCUUUUGAAAGAGUGGGACGCCACGGUAUAAAGGCUAAAAACAAAACAAAGAACUUUGAGCUAAACAAAAAAUGAGGUUGUCAUCAGCUUCCUGUAACUUAUGGUUAGGGCUAUAUAAUCUCAUAGGCUCAUGCAUAUAAUCGAGCAGCAUUAUGCUGUGCUGAAUGCAAAUUUUUGUUAUGGCCCAUGGUUAUUUCAUUAAAUGAUCCUAUGAGCCUACCCUAUUGCUGCUGCACUGGAUGCCAUGUCUUCGAUCAUUUUGUUGAAAGGUUGCGAUUGCGUUGAGCUAAGUCCAGGCUUUACUUAGUCUAUGAUCUAGACCAAGAUUUGAUUGAUCAGGAGGCAAAUUAGAAUCAUCUUGUGCAUCUUGCACGUGCAGCGUAAUUCUAAUUUGUAUUUAAAAUGGCUAGACCAAAAUUUAUGAAUAAGUAGAUAUAGGUGCAGAGAAAUUUCAAAUUCAAAACACUCCUACCUGCAAUCACCAUUGGAAAUUCAUACCUUCAAAAUUCAUAAAAGGUCUUGCUAAUGGAAGAGAUGGUGAAACAUGACCCACUGGAAAGUUGCUAAAAUCAUGAUCAUCCCAACAACUAUCACAACCAAACACCAAAAUCGAGAAAAAUCUCCUAACAACAAACCUAUAUGAAUCAAUCUCAAUGGUGGGAUAGCUCCACAGAGAGAGAGAGAGAGAGAAGCCGGCGGUAACAUUUGUGAUGCUACAAUUGGGGCUCGCAAGAGGAUGCAAUCAAGCCUCAAACCAUAUGGGAAUUGAGAGGGAAGAAAUAGGGGUUCAAACCACUCAGGUAGCGUGGGGGGCGCAAGAGGAGGAGGGAUAGAGGGGCACAAGUUUGGGGGAGGGUCGAGGGAGGAAUAAAAGAGAGAAUCCUGGGGGUGAGAGGAAGAGAAUAAGGGGCGGAGGGCAAGUGCUAAGGGUUUUCUAGUCACAACAAACCAGAGAGAGACCAAAGAAAACUGGAAAAAUGUUUUCUGGAGAUUCUCCCUCUAAUUAAGCGUAGGAUAGACGGAGCUUUGCUCGUGAGAAGUCUAACAAUGGCUGGCAGUGCAAAUAUAAUUCAAAUAGAUUUGUUUUAAAUAUCUUUGAUUAAUAUUGUGUGCGAGACGUUUUUAUUUCUUUGUCAAACAUGGGAUGUAACUCGCCCAUCAACAAAGUUGAUAGUGAACUCUCUAAGGUAUUGCCCUCGACAGGAUACGGUUGCAAACAUAGUAAUUGAAUUGCAAGCAUAUGAAACAACUAUUUAGAUACUUGACUACAAGCUGCAUUUGAACUACAAGCAUGAGUCUAGAUUUUAUAAUUAAAAAUAUUGGAAAAAUUGAUUGUAUUUUCAAGUACAAAAUUUAUUGCAAUUGGAAGCAACCUCCAAAAGAGAUGCCGCACCACACUUCAACCAAUGAAAUUUAAAAUUCUAUAUUUUAUUAUUUAAUUUAUUAGAAUAUAAAAUUAUUGUAACAUAAUGUAUGAUGAUUAUAAUAUUUAAUAAAAUUUUCUAAAAGUAUACUUCAACAAAAAUUGAUGUUUUAUUGUUAAUAAUAUAAGUAUUGUUUUAUGAUCAUAGCAUGCGUGUUUAAUUAUUUCUAUUACAUCACAAUGAUUCCUGUAGCACCAUAAAACUAAGUUAACUUCAAUUGUAUUUGUAAUUUUCAAUUACAGAUAAUGAAAAAGCAAUAGCUUUUGCAACUGUCAUGUCAAAAUGUAAUAUUUUUAGUUGCAACCUAUUUUUAGCUUGCAAGAAAUAGCAUUGCAGGUAAAACAAAUACUUACUAAAUAAAUAUUUUAUUUGACUGGAGAGAGGAAAAAAAUCUUUUAUUCUCCUCAACUUGAACCUCUCAAAUGGAUUUAGAAAAGGUAGAAAAUAUGGCAAUAUUAGGGUCUUUUCUUACAUUGAUCAAUAAUAAAUUGAUAUGCAUAGCUUCUAUUAAUGCUAGUGAGGUCCACCCUUGUAUAUUUUAAGUCAGAUUGCUCUUCUAAUAUAAACAGACAUGACUAAUAAAAAAAUAAAUAUUAUAAAGUUAAAAUCCAAAAUAAAGUAAAUCUCAACUCCUACAUUGACUUUGUCUCUAGUCGUUCUACCAAUUUUUUUCUAUAUGAAAAGUUACAUCCGAUCAAAGUCUCUCCUAAAAAGAAAGUUUCAAUUAGAUUGGUUCAUUUUAGAAUUUAAACGAUAAAAUUUGUUACUAUUCGCUCCCUGUACUACACCCUAAAAGAGGUGGCUCCAUAUUAUAGAGCUUGAAAGUUGUCGGAUUUAUUUUAAAAAAUCAUCUUAAUGUAGCAUCGUACGAAUAAGUUAUAGCCUUCGAAAGUUAGCACGCGAUUUAGCUCUUUAAUGUAAUGACUUGCCCCUAAACAAUGUCCAAUCCUUCUUAUAAUGGCUAAAUUGAUCCACAUCGAGUCUGAUGAUCCUACUGGAUCGAUAUCAAUGAAACUAAGAUUUUUAUCUCGAUCGAGAUCUCGAAUUGUAUGGCAACUUUGGAUACAAUAUGCGCAGAAGGCUUGGCCUAUUUUCUCAAUCAAAAUAAAUUGAUAAAAUCCAAGAUCUUUGCUGACAUGAUAUCAUUCAAAUAAAAAAAUAUUUUUUAAUCACUUUUAUGUCCUUAAAUGAGAUUUUUAAUCAAUAAUUCUUUGAUUUUUUAAUCAUUUUAUCUUAAAAUAAUUAUUCUUUAAUUAAUUAUUAUUUUUUUGAGAUUUGUGCAUUGGAUGAUCCAACGGUGUAUUUGUGCGAAAAAAGAUGAAUACUCCUUUGGUGCAGAAGAUACAAUUGCGGCCCAACUUUGAACCCAACCUCUCACUUAGAAGACAAGUGGAUUUGUUGCUUAGCUACAAACUUAGGGAGUAGAUGCAGUUGUGUUAUAGAAAAUAUUGUGAAGAAUAGUUCUGUUAAAAGACCAUAAUGGCAGCCUCUUGUGAAGACGAUUUGGUUGGUUGUUUAUAGAAUCUUUGGUUGCCAGUUUCUUGACCUCAAGUCAACUAAUAGUCCAAUGUGGAAAGGAAAAUUUUCUAACAAUCUUGAGAUCAAGCACAUAGGAGCUGACAGAUAAACCAGAUGCGGCUAUUUUUUCCGAAAAAAAGGCAGGGUGGAGUGGUCUUACCCACUGUAUUUGUAUAUAUGUCCAGAAUAGACCGAGCUUAAUACUUGAAGUCUUGAAGGAUUAGAGUUGUAUCUUUUGCAGAUCUUUGAAUUAUCCAUUGGUCACUUUGAGAUCUAUGCAGACGGAUAAAUAAUAAUGGAGUUUGGAAUGCUUUGAGAACUGUACAUUAGGUGAUCGAAUGGUGGAUUCGUCCGAAGAAAGUUGAACACUUCUUUAGAUCCAAUGGUAUUCGAAGUCUCACAUCAACACAUGUCUAUAAGGAGAGAAACUAAUCUCUAGAUAUAUUGGCUAGCCAGCAGAUGUGCCGAUGGAAAUUUUAUAUCCGAGAGUUCUUAGCCUUUAUCUUCCCAUACCAAUAAGCUUUUUUUCUUCUGGCUGAUAUAAGUUUAUUUAUUUUUGGAGGAAAACACUAAGAAAAAAACUUCACAUUAUCAAGCAUGUAUAAAAUAUUCCUUUCACACAAUAUUCGAAAAGAAAAUAUUACACUGAAAUAACAUUGCAUUUCCACAUUAUUCUCCCAUAAAUCUAACAUCCUUCACCCUUAUUAUUGUUAUUAUUCUUGGCAAAGGAAAAACACGGAUACACAUGAUCACAUGAUGGUACACGGCGUUGAUGGAUCCUCCUUAAGAAUCAACUCGUAUCCUCCAUGAGAGGUUCCACCAAAGGGCAUUGGUGGACAAUCAGGCACGCAUCCGUAGAUCCUUCCACAAGAGUAACACCGAGACCCUCCUUGGUGCCCGCCAGAGGAGGGCAUCCAGCAACAAACCUGACAAAUUGGUGGUUGACACGGUGGUGGACAUGGUGGUGGACACGGUGGUGGACACGGUGGUGGACAUGGUGGUUCACACGGUGGUGGACACACUUUACCUUUUUUUGGCGUCUCCUUGCAGGGAUCCGGGCAUUUUGCAUGCUCACAUACUAUGAUCUCAAUGUCGUUGAUCACCUUUUCAGUUUCUUU